This 1513-nucleotide long non-coding RNA is filed under the name Helianthus annuus (common sunflower). RNAcentral describes it as "hypothetical non coding rna". The record is from RNAcentral. Lineage: Eukaryota; Viridiplantae; Streptophyta; Magnoliopsida; Asterales; Asteraceae.
AACCUCCAACUUCUCUCCUUCCUUUCCCCCAUAGCUACGGCCCAAGCACCCCCCUCACACACCUCCAUUUUCAACCCUUCACUAUCCAUUCUAAGAAGAUCCUAAGGCGUAAGAGGCAUAAUUAGGAAGCUUGGAAGCAACAGAGCUUGAAGGACCUUGUUCAUUUGCUUUUAACCACCCAAUCUUCAUCCUUGUUCUUCCCUAGCUUCAAGCUAGUAGUAAGCAUCAUGAACACCCUUAUUUACUUCUAUUUUUAGUGGUUAAAAGACUUUUUAUGAUGAAAAUCUUAUGAACACUAAAGAACAUGAACUUGAAACUUAAACAUAAACAUAAACUUUACAUAAGAUGAUACAUGGAUGAAAUGAUGUUGUUUAGUAUGAGGUUUAAACACUGAAUCUAGCAAGUAGGAGGAUGAUUAUGGGACAAACUAGAAUAAUCAUCUUCUUGUCUAGUCAUGAACUUGAUAAAUAAAUGAUUUCUUGAAAAACAAUAAACAAAGUAAGCUAGUAAAUUUAUAGAUCUAAGAUGCAUGAGUAGUUUUUCAAAAGAACCAAGCUAAAAAUACAAGUUUUACCAAAUCUUGGUUCUUAGACAAAUAAACCUUAUUUUUGGUGGUUAAUAAAGUAAAGAUACACAUGUGUAACAAGAAAAUACAAGAAGUAGUAUUUUUAGAAAAUAUGGUCACAAGUUGUAAAGAACUAAAUUCUUUAAAAAUGAAGCUUUUAAAGAAACAAACACACUUUAAAGAGUAACAAGACUUACUAAAUACCCUAGUAAGUUACUACACAUUUUUGUAAAUUCUCAAGUUCAUGAAAUAGAGAAAUUAGUGCAUGUUGUUGAUAAUUGUGUUGAAAUUUAUUGUUGAUGAUUUAAAAGAAAAUAAAAACAUGUUUUGAAAACAUGGGAAACCUCCAUUUUUUAGGGGAAACUCUGUCAAAAUUUUUAUAAAUUUUGACACUUAGAAAAAUAUAUAAGUUUUGAGAAACUUAUUCCCUAAAAAUGUAUACCAAGGUAUUUACCAAGGUUUCUCUAAUUUUUGAGUUAAGAAACGAUGAUUUCGUCAAGGUUAAAAAUUGACAUUAAGUAUGUAUAUUUUUGAGGAAAAUAUAUAUAUAUUAUUUUAUCACCAAACUUUGUGCUAAGUGUAUGUAGUAUGUAUUAUACGUGCUAGUGUAUUAGGACUUGAAAAUACACUAAAUACUCUUGAGAAGUAAAAACACAAAAAUACACAUACAACAUACUUAGACAAAUACAAGAAAAUAUAUUUGUGAAAAUAUAUUAGUUGAUAGAAUAAAUAACUUGGACCAGUUAUGGACAUAAAAUGAAGUUUUGAACAAAGAUACAGGUGCCUUCGCUUCUACGCGAACCAGACAAACCCCGAGAGGGCAGGCUGAGAAGAGGAGCUGCCUUCGCUUCUAGGCGAACCAGACAAUUGAUGAUAUGCGUCAGAUGGUCCUUGGUCGCUCAUACUGUAAACUAACAGAUAGUCAGAUAACACAUAACAAGAAAAUGC